RNAcentral lists this unclassified non-coding RNA (240 nucleotides) under soil metagenome. Its description in RNAcentral is "partial contains 5.8S ribosomal RNA, internal transcribed spacer 2, and large subunit ribosomal RNA". The record is from RNAcentral.
AACGCACGAGACCUGCGGACCUGCGGAGGGAUCAUUACUGAGUGAGGGCCCUCUGGGUCCAACCUCCCACCCGUGUUUAUUGUACCUUGUUGCUUCGGCAGGCCCGCCUCACGGCCGCCGGGGGGCUUUCCGCCCCCGGGCCCGCGCCUGCCGGAGACAAUCUUGAACGCUGUCUGAAGAAUGCAGUCUGAGCGAUUAAGCAAAAUUAGUUAAAACUUUUAACAACGGAUCUCUAGAUCG